Molecule: unclassified non-coding RNA, 209 nt
Filed under: Hevea brasiliensis (rubber tree)
Lineage: Eukaryota; Viridiplantae; Streptophyta; Magnoliopsida; Malpighiales; Euphorbiaceae
Source: RNAcentral
GGGGAAUCUCUGGACUCCCUUUACUGAGUAAAAUUUUGACCAAAAUUGGUCUGUGAAAUGUAAUUACGUGGACUCUAGGGAACUAUGGCUUUAAGAUUCACAUAUAAACAUUCAAAUGAGAUUUGGUAGAAGUUUACAUUAUUUAUUUAAAGAAGCUGUUUUUCAUGACCAAGAAUCGUCUAAGGCUAGUCUUUAGGACCAACCGCAAC